This 610-nucleotide long non-coding RNA is filed under the name Homo sapiens (human). RNAcentral's name for it is "non-protein coding lnc-ACO1-10:1". The record is from RNAcentral. Lineage: Eukaryota; Metazoa; Chordata; Mammalia; Primates; Hominidae.
AUUCGGAAAGCUUUUUUUUUUUUUGAGACGGAGUCUUGCUCUGUCGCCCAGGUGGCACUAUCUCGGCUUACUGCAAGCUCCGCCUUCUGGGUUCACACCAAUCUCGUGCCUCAGCCUCCGCAGUAGCUGGGACUACAGGAGCCCGCCACCACGCCCGGCUAAUUUUUUUGUAUUUUUAGUAGGGACGGGGUUUCACUGUGUUAGCCAUGAUGGUCUCGAUCUCCUGACUUCGUGAUCUGCCCGCCUCGGCCUCCCAAAGUGCUGGGAUUACAGGCAUGAGCCACUGCGCCUGGCCGGAAAGAUUUCCUUAAAACAAAAGUGCAUGGAAUUGCUGUUCUUACAUUUGUUUAUUGUGAUAUUUCACUGUUGCAUACCCUGAUACCAAAUUAGUGUAAGUACUGUGUAAGAAAAAAACAAACAAACAUGUAACUAAAUACUUUUCCAUACCGUUUUCCAAGUCAAGAAUGACCAGAAAAAGUAGGUAGUCUCUCAUAUUUGUUUAGCAUGUCCACUUUUUACUUAUUGUUAAAUUACUCAGUCUCAAAUUGUACAAUGCUUGAAAACAGAUAUGACAAUUUCUGAGAUUAAACUUUAUUAAAGUUACUUUUCC